This 51-nucleotide transfer RNA is filed under the name Artena dotata. Its description in RNAcentral is "tRNA-Glu". Lineage: Eukaryota; Metazoa; Arthropoda; Insecta; Lepidoptera; Erebidae. The record is from RNAcentral.
GUUUAUAUAGUUUAAAAUAAAACUUUACAUUUUCAUUGUAAAAAUAAAAUA